This is a non-coding RNA of Gopherus flavomarginatus (Mexican gopher tortoise), 768 nucleotides long. The record is from the annotation of a RefSeq genome assembly. Lineage: Eukaryota; Metazoa; Chordata; Testudines; Testudinidae.
ACACAUUUUGCAGCCUCCUGGGUCUGAGCAGUUACCAGCCAGUCGCUUGAGAACCUUCUGCUCCAGCUCCAGGAAAAAUGAGAUUUUUGCUCCUUUUAAGUUUCGUGGUAGCAGCUUUAGAAGGUGCCCAGUCCCAGGUCCAGCUGGUGGAGUCCGGAGGGGGUGUGAAAAACCCCGGAGAGUCUCUCCGCCUCUCCUGCAAAGCCUUCGGGUUCUCCUUCAGUGAUUCCUACAUGAGCUGGCUCCGACUGGCUCCAGGAAAGGGACUAGAAUGGGUCAGUUAUAUAAACCCCAAUGGGAGCGAGACGCGCUACCGUGAUUCAGUGAAAGGCCGAUACACCAUCUCCAGGGAUAAUUACAUCAAUGAGCUGUAUCUGCAAAUGUCCAACCUGAAACCCGAGGACUCCGCCAUCUAUUACUGUGAGAAAGAUACAGGGAAACCCCCUUCUCCCAGCAGCCGCGUGGGGGCAGCAGUGACAGUCACCUCGCUUCGGGCUUAGACAGGACACCCUACCGUUUGUGUUACGUUCACCCUAUGGUUACUCACAUCUUGUCAACUAUUUGAAAUGGGCCAUCCUGAUGAUCACUACAAAAGUUUUUUUUUCUCCUGCUGAUAAUAGUUCACCUUAAUUGAUUUGUCCCGUUAGAGUUGGUAAGGCAACCCCCAUCUUUUCUUGUUCUCUGCAUAUAUAUCUCUCCCUACGUAUUUUCCACUGCAUGCAUCUGAUCAAGUGGGUUUUAGCCCACGAAAGCUUAUGCCCCAUUAAA